This 497-nucleotide ribosomal RNA is filed under the name uncultured soil bacterium. RNAcentral describes it as "bacterial SSU rRNA". It matches the Rfam family "Bacterial small subunit ribosomal RNA", at positions 26 to 519 of the family's 1533-position model. The record is from RNAcentral.
AGAUUGAACGCUGGCGGCAGGCCUAACACAUGCAAGUCGAGCGGUAGAGAGGUGCUUGCAUCUCUUGAGAGCGGCGGACGGGUGAGUAAUGCCUAGGAAUCUGCCUAGUGGUGGGGGAUAACGUUCGGAAACGGACGCUAAUACCGCAUACGUCCUACGAGAGAAAGCGGGGGACCUUCGGGCCUCGCGCCAUUAGAUGAGCCUAGGUCGAUUAGCUAGUUGGUGAGGUAAUGGCUCACCAAGGCGACGAUCCGUAACUGGUCUGAGAGGAUGAUCAGUCACACUGGAACUGAGACACGGUCCAGACUCCUACGGGAGGCAGCAGUGGGGAAUAGUUGGACAAUGGGCGAAAAGCCUGAUCCAGCCAUGCCGCGUGUGUGAAGAAGGUCUCGGAUUGUAAAGCUACUUUAAGUUGGAGGAAGGUUAGUAACCUAAUACGUUAGCUAACUUUAGACGUUACGACAGAAUAAGCACGCUAACUUCGUACAGCAGCCGUA